Molecule: non-coding RNA, 104 nt
Organism: Ornithorhynchus anatinus (platypus)
Lineage: Eukaryota; Metazoa; Chordata; Mammalia; Monotremata; Ornithorhynchidae
Source: Rfam
UUGCUAUGGUGGCAUGUAUAGUAAAAUUCAGAACAAUGCAGAGAACAUUAGCAUGGCCUCUUUUUAAGGAUGACAUGCAAAUUCGUGAAGCACUUCAUAUUUCC